UACGUAGGGUGCGAGCGUUGUCCGGAAUUAUUGGGCGUAAAGAGCUCGUAGGCGGCUUGUCGCGUCUGCUGUGAAAACUCGGGGCUUAACCCCGGGCCUGCAGUGGGUACGGGCAGACUAGAGUGCGGUAGGGGAGACUGGAAUUCCUGGUGUAGCGGUGAAAUGCGCAGAUAUCAGGAAGAACACCCGUGGCGAAGGCGGCUCUCUGGGACGGUACUGACGCUGAGACGCGAAAGCGUGGGGAGCGAACAGG
Molecule: ribosomal RNA, 253 nt
Filed under: uncultured bacterium
Lineage: Bacteria
Description: partial 16S ribosomal RNA
Rfam family: Bacterial small subunit ribosomal RNA
Source: RNAcentral